AUUGAACGCUGGCGGCAUGCCUUACACAUGCAAGUCGAACGGCAGCACGGGUGCUUGCACCUGGUGGCGGGUGGCGAACGGGUGAGUAAUACAUCGGAACGUACCUUAUCGUGGGGGAUAACGCAGCGAAAGCUGUGCUAAUACCGCAUACGCCCUGAGGGGGAAAGCGGGGGAUCGAAAGACCUCGCGCGAUUAGAGCGGCCGAUGCCUGAUUAGCUUGUUGGUGGGGUAAAAGCCCACCAAGGCGACGAGCAGUAGCUGGUCUGAGAGGACGAGCAGCCACACUGGGACUGAGACACGGCCCAGACUCCUAAGGGAGGCAGCAGUGGGGAAUUUUGGACAAUGGGGGCAACCCGGAUCCAGCAAUGCCGCGUGAGUGAAGAAGGCCUUCGGGUUGUAAGGCUCUUUUGUCAGGGAAGAAACACCGGCUCUAACACAGUCCGGGAAUGACGGUACCUGAAGAAUAAGCACCGGCUAACUACGUGCCAGCCGCCGCCGUAA
RNAcentral lists this ribosomal RNA (501 nucleotides) under uncultured bacterium. RNAcentral's name for it is "partial 16S ribosomal RNA". It matches the Rfam family "Bacterial small subunit ribosomal RNA", at positions 29 to 523 of the family's 1533-position model. The record is from RNAcentral.